UCGAACACGUACGAGCGGAAUCACCACCUUACAGCAUGAGCAAAAUCAGGACAUUAGACACUUCGGGCGGAAUCAGGAUAUUAAGGGGUUUCACUCCAAAUGACAUGAUGUUAUUUGGAGUGGAAUCACUUCCUAAAAACAAUAUUUUGAAUUCCGUGCCCUGUUUUAGCCUAUUCUACUCUAGACUCAAUACAAGACGUAGGCAGUCCGAGAGGAUGAUCAGCCACACUGGGACUGAGACACGGCCCAGACUCCUACGGGAGGCAGCAGUGGGGAAUUUUCCGCAAUGGGCGAAAGCCUGACAGA
Non-coding RNA from Helianthus annuus (common sunflower), 306 nucleotides. NCBI's taxonomy places the organism in Eukaryota, Viridiplantae, Streptophyta, Magnoliopsida, Asterales, Asteraceae. The record is from Rfam.